This 97-nucleotide small nucleolar RNA is filed under the name Arabidopsis suecica. RNAcentral's name for it is "snoR27". It matches the Rfam family "Small nucleolar RNA snoR27". The record is from RNAcentral. Lineage: Eukaryota; Viridiplantae; Streptophyta; Magnoliopsida; Brassicales; Brassicaceae. RNAcentral also lists the same sequence under 1 other name.
AUCAGAUCGAUGAUGUCAGUUGAAAUACUGCGUUAUCGAUCUAAAAGUCUCCGAAAUAGGAGUUGCAGACCCUAAACAGAAAAAAUUGAGAUCUGAU